Molecule: long non-coding RNA, 3159 nt
Filed under: Homo sapiens (human)
Lineage: Eukaryota; Metazoa; Chordata; Mammalia; Primates; Hominidae
Description: HSALNT0311350
Source: RNAcentral
AGCACUUAAAAAAUAUUGUGCCACUUCCUUCUGGCCUCCAUGGUUUGAGAUGGAGAACUCUGCUGUCACCCUCAUUGAUCUUUCCCUUCACACCAAUGCCAAUUCCAGACUAACAUCCUGAAGCUCCAGUUUUGAGGGGUGCAAGCUGCAAGACUGAUAUCAACAUCCACCAAAUACCACUGAUGAGUGGCAAGUAUUAAAAAAACACAGAAAAUCCCACAGCAUGUUGUGGGUUGAAUUAUGCUUCUUCCCUCCCCAGAAGAGGUAAGUUGAAGUCCUAACACUGAGUAGCUAGAAAUGUGACCUUAUUUGGAAAUAGGGUCAUUGAAGAUGCACUUAGUUAAUGUGAGGUCAUACUGGAGUAGGGUGGACCCCAGUCCAAUAUGGGUGUCAUUAUAAGAAGAUGGUCAAAGGCCGUAGGAAGACAGAGACACACAGGGAGAAUACUAUGUGAUAACGAAGGCAGAGGCUAGAGUUACAUGGCUCCAAGCAAAGGAGCACCAAAGGUUGUCAAACCACCAGAAGCUGGGAAGGAUCAAAGGAUGAUUCCUCUUACAGACUUCAGAGAGAGCAUGGCCCUGCCUGCACCUUGAUUUCAGAUUUCCAGACUUCAGAACUGUUUUUUAACCCACCCAGUUUGUGGUACUUUAUUAUGGAAACCCUAAGAAAUGAGUACGCAGGGUUAAGGUUACUCAUCUGUAGGGAACGUGGAAGUUUGUGGGUUAUUACUCUCGAAAUAUCAUUUAACCAAAGGUCACAGUUAUCCAGUGUUCCCCUCCUAGAAAGAUGCUCCUUUGACACACACACUAUGGUUUCCCAUCGCUUUUAACAGGGUGAGGAAUUAAGUCCCAGGAUGAGGAUUUUCUUCUCAACUCAACACAAGCUCAUUUUAUCACUUUUUAUAAGCAAGACCAACACCUACCUUCAUGGGGCUGUAGGAGCCCCUGCUAAUGAAGUCAGGAGAACAGAUCAUCAGCUCAAGGGACAGAAACGUCAACUUCACCCAGGCAUCCCAGGACCUCCGUGGCUUCAGGACACUGUCCUUGCCUGUCUUGCUAUAGAGCAGUGUUUCAUAACCUUUGUUUUACAUUGUUGCCUUUUCAGACAUUUUCCCCCUAAUUACCCCCUGGAUAAAAUUUUAAUACCACAGUUAUACUGUCUACCUUAAGCACAACAGAGUGGGGAUAUGAACUGCUGAAAACACCUUAGACAACAACUUGUAUUUUAAUCAUCCAUUUUCUCAUAUAGCAUCAUCUGUAUAUAUGUCUCUGCUUUAUAGAUAAAGAGAGCAAGGUUUUUUUUUCUCCCUCCAAAGGCCACUUUUUGCCCCCUUAGAGGAAUAUAAUCCUGUUGAGAAGGCACACCCUAGAGUCCAAAAUCUGGGUUUGGAUCCUGCUCCUGCCCUUACUUGGAAAAUUACCUUGGGUAAAUUACUGUCUCGGUGAGCUCAGUUUCCACAACUGUAAAAGGGGGGUACUGUCCACCUGACGGGACUACAUAUAAUAAGGUGGAGAAUGUUGACACCUAAUCAAGAUUACUCUUCUCCCAUCUACUCUCUGCUUGCAGCCUAGAUUCAGCCCUCAGAAGUUAGUCUUGCCUAAACUUGGCCCAGGCUUUCAAGUCUGCCCCUUCUUGCUCUUUACUUUAUAUAGCCUGCCCUUCCCUCCUGUUCUCACCUGCUGUACACUCUUCUCAUGGAAGUCCAGCGCAUGCAUCCCUUCCCCUGGGACACUUGUCAUGUUGUUGCUCUAGCCACUGGGCUCCCUGAGAAUUUUGCAAUCUCCGGCAGAGCACUCUUUACUCCUCCACAACCACCCAUGCACAGACCUUUUUCCACAAAAGCUUCCAUAAGCAUGAAUAGUGAUCAAUUCAUCUCUUUAACCUUGACUAUUAAUGUAGGCCUGGGAACUUGCUGAAAGAGUGAACCAGUUGUUUUUCCUUAUAAAAGAAAUUUCAAGGAGAUCAAAAUUCCCACCUGGUUUGUUCCCCCAACAUAACUGUCAUGUAAGCUAUGCAAAUAUGCUUCAAGAAGAAAAGAGGAAAAGAAUAUUACAAGUAAAACACAGACCAACAAUUUCUACUUCCAAAAUUAUAUACAAAGAUGCAAGUGAAAAUUUGAACAAACCAUUCUCCAGAAAAUUGUUGAUGGGCAGUAAGCAGUUGAUAGUACUUUAGCAUAGACCUUUUGUAUAGGUCAAACUCAGUAAGCAUUCAUAGAAGAAAUAAGUAAUAAAUAUGUUGCUUUACUACUGGAUAUGUCAGUGUGUAUUUCCAAGAACAAGGACACUCUCUUACAUAAACAUGGAAAAUGAUCAAUUCAGGGAAAUUUUAAAUUACUACAAUACUAUUCCCCUACUAUCCAUAAACAAAUAUUUCCAACUGUCCCAAUGUCCUUUGUAGCUAUAUUCCCCUACCUUAGGAGUUGAUCAAGGAUCAGGCAGUUCAUUUAGCUGUCAUGUCUCCUUAGUCUUCUUUAAUCCAAACAUUUUCUCAGCCUUUGUCUUUUGUGACAUCAACAUUUUGAAAAAUUUAAGCCAGUUUAUAUAUAUGUAUUUGUUUGAUGUUUCCUCAAAAUUAGAUUUAUACUGAAAUUUGGACAGGUGGAUUGUCUCUCAUGGUACAUAAGCUUCACACCAACAUCUCCUAAAUCUUUUUUUCCUUCAAAUUCUUUAAUCUAGUCAAGAGAUUUGGCAGUUGUACAGCUUUUCCACUAAACAGCCCUGUGUAACUUGGGAUUUUUCAGGCACACAGUAACUUUCUUUGACUUGCUACAUCUUGGUGUAUAAAGACAUCUCAAGAGCUAAUUAUCCAAGGGCUUUCAGAACUAAGGCUGCACACCUAUGACCAUCUGAUCUUCAACAAAGCUGACAAAAACAAGCAACGGGGAAAGGACUUCCUAAUCAAUAAAUGGUGCUGGGAUAACUGGCUAGCCAUGUGCAGAAGAUUGAAGCUGAACCCCUUCCUUGCGCUAUAUAUGAAAAUCAGCUCAAGAUAGAUUAAAGAGUUAAAUGUGAAAUCCAAAACUAUAAAAACCCUGGAAGACAACCUAGGCAAUACCAUCCUGGACACAGGAACAGGCAAACAUUUCAUGACAAAUACACCAAAAGAAAUUGCAACAAAAGCAAAAAUUGACAAAUGGGAUCUAAUUCAACUUAAGAG